CGUGAGCCAUCAUGCCCUGCCACAGCUGCACUUUGGGCAUCUCCCUGCCCAGAACCCACCACUCUGCUGUUUCCAGGUCCCAACCACCUUUCAGGGCCUCUUCUCAUCUAAACCUUCUCUGACUACCUUGGCCUUUGUGCAUCUCCCCUUCCUCUUGACUUCUGUCCUGGCCCAGAAAAUACAGGUCAUUCUGUGCAGGCUGCCCAACUGGAUUGCCAGGCCCCAGAGGGCAGGGAUGAUGGCGAUCAGGUGAUCGAGACCAUCCUGGCCAACAUGGUGAAGUGCUGUAAUCCC
Molecule: long non-coding RNA, 294 nt
Filed under: Homo sapiens (human)
Lineage: Eukaryota; Metazoa; Chordata; Mammalia; Primates; Hominidae
Description: non-protein coding lnc-GGCX-5:1
Source: RNAcentral